RNAcentral lists this ribosomal RNA (736 nucleotides) under uncultured Fusobacterium sp. RNAcentral's name for it is "bacterial SSU rRNA". It matches the Rfam family "Bacterial small subunit ribosomal RNA", at positions 28 to 776 of the family's 1533-position model. The record is from RNAcentral. Lineage: Bacteria; Fusobacteriati; Fusobacteriota; Fusobacteriia; Fusobacteriales; Fusobacteriaceae.
GAUGAACGCUGACAGAAUGCUUUACACAUGCAAGUCUACUUGAAUUUGGGUUUUUUAACUUCGAUUUGGGUGGCGGACGGGUGAGUAACGCGUAAAGAACUUGCCUCACAGCUAGGGACAACAUUUGGAAACGAAUGCUAAUACCUGAUAUUAUGAUUAUAGGGCAUCCUAGAAUUAUGAAAGCUAUAUGCGCUGUGAGAGAGCUUUGCGUCCCAUUAGCUAGUUGGAGAGGUAACGGCUCACCAAGGCGAUGAUGGGUAGCCGGCCUGAGAGGGUGAACGGCCACAAGGGGACUGAGACACGGCCCUUACUCCUACGGGAGGCAGCAGUGGGGAAUAUUGGACAAUGGACCGAGAGUCUGAUCCAGCAAUUCUGUGUGCACGAUGACGUUUUUCGGAAUGUAAAGUGCUUUCAGUUGGGAAGAAAAAAAUGACGGUACCAACAGAAGAAGUGACGGCUAAAUACGUGCCAGCAGCCGCGGUAAUACGUAUGUCACGAGCGUUAUCCGGAUUUAUUGGGCGUAAAGCGCGUCUAGGUGGUUAUGUAAGUCUGAUGUGAAAAUGCAGGGCUCAACUCUGUAUUGCGUUGGAAACUGUGUAACUAGAGUACUGGAGAGGUAAGCGGAACUACAAGUGUAGAGGUGAAAUUCGUAGAUAUUUGUAGGAAUGCCGAUGGGGAAGCCAGCUUACUGGACAGAUACUGACGCUGAAGCGCGAAAGCGUGGGUAGCAAACAGG